AACCAAGAGAUUUAGUCAUUCUUUACGGUAAAAAGACAGUUAGGCAGCAGAUUAGAGCCAUUAGACCCUUAGUAUAGGAGUAAAAUCUAGAUACUAGUAGUUAUACCGAAGGUGGUUUAUUUGAGAUGCUGAGGCUGUGAAAGCUUUAAGGGAAACUGGGAUUGGAUACCCCACUAUUUUUAGCUAUAAAUUUACUUUUAAUAUACCAGAGUACUACGAAUAAAAAGUUUAAAACUCAAAGGGCUUGGCGGUGUUUUAGACCUCUCAGGGGAACCUGUCUCAUAAUCGACAGUCCACGUUAAACCUAACCCUUUAUAGUAAUUCAGCUUGUAUACCGUCGUCGUCAGGUAACUUCUUAAAAUAUAGUAGUUAGCUAGAAAAUUUUAUUGAUUAAAACGUCAGAUCAAGGUGCAGCCAAUGAAAGGGGGAGGAUGGGUUACAAUUAUAGAUUUAUAAUUACGGAAAGGGCUUAGAAAUAAAGCAACUUAAAGGAGGACUUGAAAGUAAUUUUAAUUACAUAAAUAGGAUGAAUGCGGCUCUGAAACGUGC
RNAcentral lists this ribosomal RNA (549 nucleotides) under Conus miles. RNAcentral's name for it is "partial 12S ribosomal RNA". It matches the Rfam family "Bacterial small subunit ribosomal RNA", at positions 598 to 1384 of the family's 1533-position model. Lineage: Eukaryota; Metazoa; Mollusca; Gastropoda; Neogastropoda; Conidae. The record is from RNAcentral.